Molecule: ribosomal RNA, 510 nt
Filed under: uncultured Bacteroidota bacterium
Lineage: Bacteria; Pseudomonadati; Bacteroidota
Description: bacterial SSU rRNA
Rfam family: Bacterial small subunit ribosomal RNA
Source: RNAcentral
GGCACGGGGGGCCUACGGGAGGCAGCAGUGAGGAAUAUUGGUCAAUGGACGCAAGUCUGAACCAGCCAUGCCGCGUGCAGGAAGACGGCCCUACGGGUUGUAAACUGCUUUUGUAAAGGAAGAAACCCUUCUACGUGUAGAGGGCUGACGGUACUUUACGAAUAAGGACCGGCUAACUCCGUGCCAGCAGCCGCGGUAAUACGGAGGGUCCAAGCGUUAUCCGGAAUUAUUGGGUUUAAAGGGUCCGUAGGCGGGCGUAUAAGUCAGUGGUGAAAUCCUGCAGCUUAACUGUAGAACUGCCAUUGAUACUGUAUGUCUUGAAUGUGUUUGAAGUGGGCGGAAUAUGACAUGUAGCGGUGAAAUGCUUAGAUAUGUCAUAGAACACCGAUUGCGAAGGCAGCUCACUAAGCCACAAUUGACGCUAAUGGACGAAAGCGUGGGGAGCGAACAGGAUUAGAUACCCUGGUAGUCCACGCCGUAAACGAUGAUUACUCGAUAUUGGCGAUAUAC